RNAcentral lists this ribosomal RNA (436 nucleotides) under uncultured bacterium. RNAcentral describes it as "partial 16S ribosomal RNA". It matches the Rfam family "Bacterial small subunit ribosomal RNA", at positions 341 to 792 of the family's 1533-position model. The record is from RNAcentral.
ACGGGAGGCAGCAGUGGGGAAUAUUGGGCAAUGGGCGAAAGCCUGACCCAGCAACGCCGCGUGGAGGAAGAAGGUCUUCGGAUCGUAAACUCCUGUCCUAAGGGAAGAGGAGAAGACUGUACCUUAGGAGGAAGCCCCGGCUAACUACGUGCCAGCAGCCGCGGUAAUACGUAGGGGGCAAGCGUUGCCCGGAAUGAUUGGGCGUAAAGGGCGCGUAGACGGCCCGAUAAGUCUGAAGUGAAAGUCCUGCCUUCAAGGUGGGAAUUGCUUUGGAUACUGUCGGGCUUGAGUGCAGGAGAGGUUAGUGGAAUUCCCAGUGUAGCGGUGAAAUGCGUAGAGAUUGGGAGGAACACCAGUGGCGAAGGCGACUUACUGGGCCGUAACUGACGCUGAGGCGCGAAAGCGUGGGGAGCGAACAGGAUUAGAUACCCUGGUA